AGUCGAGCGGGGAGGUUGCUUCGGUAACUAACCUAGCGGCGGACGGGUGAGUAAUGCUUAGGAAUCUGCCUAUUAGUGGGGGACAACAUCUCGAAAGGGAUGCUAAUACCGCAUACGUCCUACGGGAGAAAGCAGGGGAUCUUCGGACCUUGCGCUAAUAGAUGAGCCUAAGUCGGAUUAGCUAGUUGGUGGGGUAAAGGCCUACCAAGGCGACGAUCUGUAGCGGGUCUGAGAGGAUGAUCCGCCACACUGGGACUGAGACACGGCCCAGACUCCUACGGGAGGCAGCAGUGGGGAAUAUUGGACAAUGGGCGGAAGCCUGAUCCAGCCAUGCCGCGUGUGUGAAGAAGGCCUUUUGGUUGUAAAGCACUUUAAGCGAGGAGGAGGAGCUCUUGGUUAAUACCCAAGAUGCUUGGACGUUACUCGCAGAAUAAGCACCGGCUAACUCUGUGCCAGCAGCCGCGGUAAUACAGAGGGUGCAAGCGUUAAUCGGAUUUACUGGGCGUAAAGCGCGCGUAGGUGGCCAAUUAAGUCAAAUGUGAAAUCCCCGAGCUUAACUUGGGAAUUGCAUUCGAUACUGGUUGGCUAGAGUAUGGGAGAGGAUGGUAGAAUUCCAGGUGUAGCGGUGAAAUGCGUAGAGAUCUGGAGGAAUACCGAUGGCGAAGGCAGCCAUCUGGCCUAAUACUGACACUGAGGUGCGAAAGCAUGGGGAGCAAACAGGAUUAGAUACCCUGGUAGUCCAUGCCGUANACGAUGUCUACUAGCCGUUGGGGCCUUUGAGGCUUUAGUGGCGCAGCUAACGCGAUAAGUAGACCGCCUGGGGAGUACGGUCGCAAGACUAAAACUCAAAUGAAUUGACGGGGGCCCGCACAAGCGGU
RNAcentral lists this ribosomal RNA (878 nucleotides) under Acinetobacter sp. JYMMNP. RNAcentral describes it as "bacterial SSU rRNA". It matches the Rfam family "Bacterial small subunit ribosomal RNA", at positions 60 to 933 of the family's 1533-position model. Lineage: Bacteria; Pseudomonadati; Pseudomonadota; Gammaproteobacteria; Moraxellales; Moraxellaceae. The record is from RNAcentral.